This 325-nucleotide long non-coding RNA is filed under the name Ananas comosus (pineapple). Its description in RNAcentral is "long non-coding RNA (ACOM_LNC041483)". The record is from RNAcentral. Lineage: Eukaryota; Viridiplantae; Streptophyta; Magnoliopsida; Poales; Bromeliaceae.
GUUCUUCCGUACGACGCGGCGUUGGCCCCCCUCGCCGUCCUUUCGUCCUCUCCGCCUUCGUGAUGGUGCCUCUCCGCCUUCUCUCGCCUUGUUGCCUGUCUCGUCCGACGAAUCUCCGCCUUCUCUCUCCCUGUUGCCUGUCCCGUCCGACGGAUCUCCGCCUUCUCUCGCCCUGUUGCCUGUCCCGUCCGACGGCUCUCCGCCUUUUCUCGCCCUGUUGCCUGUCCCGUCCGACAUCCCGUCCGCCUUCUCCCGUACGCUCCGCCUUCUCUCGCCCUGUUGCCUGUCCCGUCCGCCUUCUCCCGUCCGAUAGGCAUGGCGCUCG